UCCGGUUUGACACCGGCAGUCUUUCCAGAGUCCCCGACUUUACUCGCUGGCAACUGGAAACAGGGGUUUCGCUCGUUAUGGGACUUAACCCGACAUCUCACGACACGAGCUGACGACAGCCAUGCAGCACCUGUGGCAGGUUCCGGACUGGAUACCGUUGGGGGUGCGUUUCCGUCCCCUACUUCCUGCCCCUUUCGGACAUGUCAAGCCCAGGAUAAGGUUCUUCGCGUAGCCUCGAAUUAAGCCACAUGCUCCACCGCUUGUGUGAGCCCCCGUCAAUUCCUUUGAGUUUCAGCCUUGCGGCCGUACUCCCCAGGCGGGGUGCUUAAUGCGUUAGCUUCGGCACGGACGGGGUUGAUAUCCGCCCACACCUAGCACCCAACGUUUACGGCUAGGACUA
Molecule: unclassified non-coding RNA, 400 nt
Filed under: uncultured Planctomycetia bacterium
Lineage: Bacteria; Pseudomonadati; Planctomycetota; Planctomycetia
Description: contains 16S-23S intergenic spacer region
Source: RNAcentral